CCUAUAGUAUUGAGAGUUUUUACUUUUUUAUUAUUAAUGUAAAACCCCUGGUCUGAACCUCUAUUGAUUAACUGGCAUCAGUCCAAGCAUAUCUUCAUGUAAAUGUUCAUUUAACAUAUGUAUUAUUUUUUAUACCAGAAAGAAAGAAAAUGGACAUUCUCCCUUUUCCAAAUCAAUGUCUCUUAAGUAGAGGACUGAUUUGACAUGUCAGGUCUUGCUGGCUGUUCAAGACCCAUGUAAUUUUUGGUCUUUUACAAGAAAAUACUCUGAUUUUUCCUUUGCAUAAAUUUGCAGCAGAUAAAAUAAAGUCACUUUCACUGUACAUCAGCAGGCUUAUGGAUGGCUGCUUCUGUCUUGCAUUAAUUUUUAGAUGGCAUGUUCUAGGUGAUUGGUUUCCCUUCUAGAAAUUAGCAUCAUUUUUCUACCUGUCUUGACAAUGGCAUCACUCUGCCUUUAAGUAAAUGUACUUAUAACCUUUCAAAAUCUUUACAUGCUUUGUAGCUGAGAACU
Molecule: long non-coding RNA, 510 nt
Filed under: Bos taurus (domestic cattle)
Lineage: Eukaryota; Metazoa; Chordata; Mammalia; Artiodactyla; Bovidae
Description: long non-coding RNA NONBTAT019702
Source: RNAcentral